AUUGAACGCUGGCGGCAGGCUUAACACAUGCAAGUCGAGCGGUAGCACAGGGGAGCUUGCUCCCUGGGUGACGAGCGGCGGACGGGUGAGUAAUGUCUGGGAAACUGCCUGAUGGAGGGGGAUAACUACUGGAAACGGUAGCUAAUACCGCAUAACGUCGCAAGACCAAAGAGGGGGACCUUCGGGCCUCUUGCCAUCAGAUGUGCCCAGAUGGGAUUAGCUAGUAGGUGGGGUAAUGGCUCACCUAGGCGACGAUCCCUAGCUGGUCUGAGAGGAUGACCAGCCACACUGGAACUGAGACACGGUCCAGACUCCUACGGGAGGCAGCAGUGGGGAAUAUUGCACAAUGGGCGCAAGCCUGAUGCGGCCAUGCCGCGUGUGUGAAGAAGGCCUUCGGGUUGUAAAGCACUUUCAGCGAGGAGGAAGGUGGUGAGCUUAAUACGUUCAUCAAUUGACGGUACUCGCAGAAGAAGCACCGGCUAACUCCGUG
Molecule: ribosomal RNA, 490 nt
Filed under: uncultured bacterium
Lineage: Bacteria
Description: partial 16S ribosomal RNA
Rfam family: Bacterial small subunit ribosomal RNA
Source: RNAcentral